Molecule: long non-coding RNA, 384 nt
Organism: Dipodomys spectabilis (banner-tailed kangaroo rat)
Lineage: Eukaryota; Metazoa; Chordata; Mammalia; Rodentia; Heteromyidae
Exons: 4
Source: RefSeq, a predicted model, not a curated record
UUAGCAUCACCAGUUACCAAGUACACAUAGGACCAAGCUCCAGCUUGCAAUAAAUGACUCUUUGCUGUUUGCAUUGAUCAUGGUCUCUGGUGGUCUGAGAGGGGGCGUCUGAAAUCUGAGCACUUUAUGUGGGAGCUUGUCCGGGAUAGCCCCCCCCAUAAGCCACACAGAUACCUGAUCAGCGAGUCGUCCAGCUAGCCGGUGGGAUUCAAAAGAUCCGUUGAUGAAUUGCCUUGCUAAACAAGCGAGCCCUGGGAAAAUGAAGCUUAACAAAGGUGAAAAUCAUCUGUAAAGUUUGCUGGCACUCAUCCCAGUUGUGCAUGUGUGUGAAAAUUACUGUCUCUAAUGAGUGCUGUGGCGUCAAUUCAGAGCCUGGGAACUGGU